AUCCACCUGACGAGUCUCAAAUAGGACGAAAGUAGCGUCCUGGAU
RNAcentral lists this non-coding RNA (45 nucleotides) under Schistosoma mansoni. Lineage: Eukaryota; Metazoa; Platyhelminthes; Trematoda; Strigeidida; Schistosomatidae. The record is from RNAcentral.